GGUUUGGACUCAGCUAAUUCCUAAUUGGGUUAAAAAUUUGAUGAGAUAUUUAGAUUUCUAAUUGGAUUAGGUUCAUGUUUAUCAGUGGUUUCAAUCCAAAUUUGAUUUUAAUUAGAAUUGAAUUAGAAAUGAAAAGUCCAAGUCAAACUGAGACUCUAUCCUUAUCUUUUGCGCCACAUCUGGAUCCAUGCUAAUUUCUCCAUGCCUAAUUAGAUUUAGAUUAUGAUUUUUGACAUCAUGAG
RNAcentral lists this long non-coding RNA (242 nucleotides) under Elaeis guineensis (African oil palm). RNAcentral describes it as "long non-coding RNA (EGUI_LNC054970)". Lineage: Eukaryota; Viridiplantae; Streptophyta; Magnoliopsida; Arecales; Arecaceae. The record is from RNAcentral.